This 253-nucleotide ribosomal RNA is filed under the name uncultured bacterium. RNAcentral describes it as "partial 16S ribosomal RNA". It matches the Rfam family "Bacterial small subunit ribosomal RNA", at positions 524 to 776 of the family's 1533-position model. The record is from RNAcentral.
UACGAAGGGCGCUAGCGUUGUUCGGAAUUACUGGGCGUAAAGAGCGCGUAGGCGGUUGUACUAGUCAGGGGUGAAAUCCCACAGCUUAACUGUGGAACUGCCUUUGAAACUGUGCAGCUGGAGUGUGUGAGGGGAUAGCGGAAUUCCUAAUGUAGAGGUGAAAUUCGUAGAUAUUAGGAGGAACACCGGUGGCGAAGGCGGCUAUCUGGCACACAACUGACGCUGAGGCGCGAAAGCGUGGGGAUCAAACAGG